GACGAACGCUGGCGGCGUGCUUAACACAUGCAAGUCGAACGGAAAGGCCCUGCUUUUGUGGGGUGCUCGAGUGGCGAACGGUGAGUAACACGUGAGUAACCUGCCCUUGACUUUGGGAUAACUUCAGGAAACUGGGGCUAAUACCGGAUAGGAGCUCCUGCUGCAUGGUGGGGGUUGGAAAGUUUCGGCGGUUGGGGAUGGACUCGCGGCUUAUCAGCUUGUUGGUGGGGUAGUGGCUUACCAAGGCUUUGACGGGUAGCCGGCCUGAGAGGGUGACCGGCCAUAUUGGGACUGAGAUACGGCCCAGACUCCUACGGGAGGCAGCAGUGGGGAAUAUUGCACAAUGGGCGGAAGCCUGAUGCAGCAACGCCGCGUGCGGGAUGACGGCCUUCGGGUUGUAAACCGCUUUCGCCUGUGACGAAGCGUGAGUGACGGUAAUGGGUAAAGAAGCACCGGCUAACUACGUG
Molecule: ribosomal RNA, 467 nt
Filed under: uncultured bacterium
Lineage: Bacteria
Description: partial 16S ribosomal RNA
Rfam family: Bacterial small subunit ribosomal RNA
Source: RNAcentral